GUUUGAUCAUGGCUCAGAUUGAACGCUGGCGGCAGGCCUAACACAUGCAAGUCGAGCGGCAGCGGGAGGAAGCUUGCUUCCUGGCCGGCGAGCGGCGGACGGGUGAGUAAGGUAUGGGGAUCUGGCCGAAGGCGGGGGAUAACCACUGGAAACGGUGGCUAAUACCGCAUAAUCUCUAAGGAGCAAAGUGGGGGACCAUUAGGCCUCACACCUUCGGAUGAACCCAUAUGAGAUUAGCUAGUAGGUGGGGUAAGGGCUCACCUAGGCGACGAUCUCUAGCUGGUCUGAGAGGAUGAUCAGCCACACUGGGACUGAGACACGGCCCAGACUCCUACGGGAGGCAGCAGUGGGGAAUAUUGCACAAUGGGCGCAAGCCUGAUGCAGCCAUGCCGCGUGUAUGAAAAAGGCCUUCGGGUUGUAAAGUACUUUCAGUCGUGAGGAAGGUGUUAAGGUUAAUAGCCUUAGCAAUUGACGUUAGCGACAGAAGAAGCACCGGCUAACUCCGUGCCAGCAGCCGCGGUAAUACGGAGGGUGCGAGCGUUAAUCGGAAUUACUGGGCGUAAAGGGCACGCAGGCGGUUAAUUAAGUUGGAUGUGAAAU
Molecule: ribosomal RNA, 600 nt
Filed under: uncultured bacterium
Lineage: Bacteria
Description: bacterial SSU rRNA
Rfam family: Bacterial small subunit ribosomal RNA
Source: RNAcentral